AUUGAACGCUGGCGGCAGGCCUAACACAUGCAAGUCGAACGGCAGCACAGAAGAGCUUGCUCUUUGGGUGGCGAGUGGCGGACGGGUGAGUAAUGUCUGGGAAACUGCCCGAUGGAGGGGGAUAACUACUGGAAACGGUAGCUAAUACCGCAUAACGUCGCAAGACCAAAGUGGGGGACCUUCGGGCCUCACACCAUCGGAUGUGCCCAGAUGGGAUUAGCUAGUAGGUGGGGUAAUGGCUCACCUAGGCGACGAUCCCUAGCUGGUCUGAGAGGAUGACCAGCCACACUGGAACUGCGACACGGUCCAGACUCCUACGGGAGGCAGCAGUGGGGAAUAUUGCACGAUGGGCGCAAGCCUGAUGCAGCCGUGCCGCGUGUAUGAAGAAGGCCUUCGGGUUGUAAAGUACUUUCAGCGGGGAGGAAGGCGGUGAGGUUAAUAACCUUGCCGAUUGACGUUACCCGCAGAAGAAGCACCGGCUAACUCCGUGCCAGCCGCCGCGGUAA
This 506-nucleotide ribosomal RNA is filed under the name uncultured bacterium. RNAcentral's name for it is "partial 16S ribosomal RNA". It matches the Rfam family "Bacterial small subunit ribosomal RNA", at positions 29 to 523 of the family's 1533-position model. The record is from RNAcentral.